RNAcentral lists this small RNA (86 nucleotides) under Arabidopsis thaliana (thale cress). RNAcentral's name for it is "ATSL276670". The record is from RNAcentral. Lineage: Eukaryota; Viridiplantae; Streptophyta; Magnoliopsida; Brassicales; Brassicaceae.
AUAUAACAGUAAUUAAAAAAAGUUCUGUCGUGUUCUGGUAAUAACACCUAAUUUCCUACCCAUCACAGUUAAUCUCCCUAUUAUAU